AUUGAACGCUGGCGGAAUGCUUUACACAUGCAAGUCGAACGGUAGAGGGGGCAACCCCUCGAGAGUGGCGAACGGGUGAGUAAUAUAUCGGAACGUGCCCAGUCGUGGGGGAUAACGUAGCGAAAGUUACGCUAGUACCGCAUACGAUCUACGGAUGAAAGCGGGGGAUCGCAAGACCUCGCGCGAUUGGUGCGGCCGAUAUCAGAUUAGGUAGUUGGUGGGGUAAAGGCUCACCAAGCCAACGAUCUGUAGCUGGUCUGAGAGGACGACCAGCCACACUGGAACUGAGACACGGUCCAGACUCCUACGGGAGGCAGCAGUGGGGAAUUUUGGACAAUGGACGCAAGUCUGAUCCAGCCAUUCCGCGUGCAGGAUGAAGGCCCUCGGGUUGUAAACUGCUUUUGUACGGAACGAAAAGGUUUCCAUUAAUACUGGGAGCUCAUGACGGUACCGUAAGAAUAAGCACCGGCUAACUACGUGCCAGCAGCCGCCGUAA
RNAcentral lists this ribosomal RNA (496 nucleotides) under uncultured bacterium. Its description in RNAcentral is "partial 16S ribosomal RNA". It matches the Rfam family "Bacterial small subunit ribosomal RNA", at positions 30 to 523 of the family's 1533-position model. The record is from RNAcentral.